GAACAGGGUGUCAGUUUGUCAACGGGCACAUUCUAAUCUGGCCUUUCGCCCAAGAGAACUUAAAGGACAAUUAUCCUUAUUUGACGAUAUAAAUACCUAAUUGGAUAAGAGCUCAAUUGAGGAAAUACUGUUUCACCCUGAAGUACAAGGUUGCAUGUCAGCAGAGGAGGGAGACAUACAAAACAUGGCGGACCUCGAGAGCAAGGAAGUUACAGGUCCAAGCACCGUAGUUGCAAAAGAAGAGCAACCCCUUCAAACUACCCAAGAGUCUACUGCAUCGGAACCCGCAGUGUCUACUCAUGUAACUAGCUUUGAAUUCAAGGAACAGGCAGUUGUUUCACAAGGCAUGGAGCGGGGCCAUUGGGCCUGUAAUGCAGAGUUUAUUAUGGCCGCGUUGGCCGUCACCACAGAUUACAGUCUCAUUUGGAGGUUCCCCUUUUUGUGUUACAUGAACGGAGGAGUUGUCUUCAUGAUCCUGUACGCCAUCUUUCUCCUUCUGAUCGGAGUCCCCAUCUUCUACAUGGAUCUAAGUCUGGGGCAGUUCUGCGGCAGAGGCCCAGCCCACAUCUGGAACUUCAGUCCACUCCUCAGAGGUGUAGGCGUGGGAAUGGUCGUCGUGAAUGCAGUGAUUCACCCAAUGUAUGGCGUCAUCCCGUCAUGGGGGAUGUACUACCUCUUCCAGUCAGGGUCCACCGCCCUGCCAUGGUCAACCUGCAGUAACUCCUGGAACACCCCAUCAUGCGUCGAAGGUCAAACCCUACCCUUUAAUGCGAGUGGAAACUCCUACGUGUUUGGUAGCCCGUCGACCCCUGGGCUAGAAUACUUUAAUAAUCGAGUCUUGCAAAUUUCCUCUGGAAUCGAAGACCCCGGGGGACUUCAGUGGGAGCUGGUCGGAUGUAGGUUCGGCACCGUGGUUCUCAUAUUUGCUGCUUUGUUCUGGGGAGUUAAGGUUAUUGGAAAGGUGGUGUUCGUCACGGUGCCACUCAUCUUCGUCCUCCUUCUGACACUGUUUAUAAGAGGCAUGACGUUACCCGGAUCACUGGAGGGUAUAAGGUACCUCCUCUAUCCCUCCUUGGGGCGUCUUUUGUACAAAGAGACGUGGAGCUCUGCAUUUCUCAGUGCAAUGUAUACAACAGGGAUGGCAACAGGCAUCAUCAGCACUCUGGCAAGCUACAAACGCUUCACCUCUUCAGCACUGAGAGACUCCUUUAUAGUGUAUGGUGUAACGCUGGGCCUGGGUAUUGUUACCAGUGUUAUGAUGUUUGGCUUCUUCGGGGCUCUUGCACAGAUUAAAGGUGUGGGGAUAAAUGAAGUUGUAGCUUCGGGUCCAGGAGCAGUGUUCGUUGCAAUGGCGGAAAUGAUUGCACAUCUUCCAGUACCCAACUUCUGGAGCUUUAUAUUUUUCUUCAUGCUCCUUUUGAUGGGAGUCAACAUACAGGUCCUUGGUGCAGAGGUUGUAAUAACGGCAGUGCUUGAUAGUUUGCCUCGCCGAUCUCGGCUGAUAAGACUCGCCAUCACCGCAGCCAUCUGUGGCGGUUCCUUCCUCUUAACCCUUCCUUACCUUGCCAAGGGCGGAGUGUACUUUUUCACUAUGGUCGAUGUCAGUGUUAUGAGGCUUUCUUUCUUUAUACUUGGUUUCCUCCAGUUCCUGACAGUCGGAUGGAUAUAUGGUAUGGAUCAGUUUAGCAGAGACAUCAAGAUGAUGACCGGUCUACGACCUCCUGUCGUCUUGAAGUUCAUCUGGUGUUUCGUACUUCCUCUCCUUAUCCUGUUGUUGUUUUUGCUGUCGCUUAUACAACAUUACCGGCUUACUUAUGAAAGCUACAGUUUCCCCGUGUGGGCUGAAGUGAUGGGCUGGUUCAUUUCCCUGCUGCCACUCGCACCGAUUCCAGUGUUUGUUGUGGUCGCGAUCAUUUUUACUGGUAAUCAGCCUCCUAUGAGUCCAAAGCCCGACUGGGGCCCAGCUGACCCAGCCUACCAGGCGGAGUAUGACAGGCAGAGGUCCCGGAACAUAACGCUGACAGAAAGAAUUAUGGCAGUCUUCAGAACCUGAUGUUAUCGUUGGUCUUUGAAACGUGUUUUUCUUCAUUCUGGAUGAACUUAAUUUCUUCAUAAAGACUUCAUAUAUCUAUUUCAAUGAUAAUAUCCAUAAUAUUGCAUGCAAACACAAAAAUAAUCAUAUUUAACACAAAUCUGUAUUAUUUGUUGUGUUAAGUAAACAAUGUUGCCUCAUUCUGUCACGGAUUCUCAAUGUUACUGAAAAGAGUCUGUUAAUUGGAUCAGCUCGUGGGAGUUAUUGUCAAGAAUUAGGAUAUCUCCUGUGCUGUUUGUGGAGGUUUGGGCCAUGUCAGAGCUCGGUCUCCUGUGUUGGUUGUGUUGAUACCUCGAGGCCAUGCCAGAGCUCGGUCUCCUGUGUUGGCUGUUGUGAUACCUCGAGGCCAUACCAGAGCUCGGUCUCCUGUGUUGGUUGUUGUGAUACCUCGAGGCCAUACCAGAGAUCGGUCUCCUGUGUUGGUUGUUGUGAUACCUCGAGGCCAUACCAGAGCUCGGUCUCCUGUGUUGGUUGUUGUGAUACCUCGAGGCCAAGUCAGAGCUCGGUCUCCUGUGUUGGUUGUUGUGAUACCUCGAGGCCAUGCCAGAGCUCGGUCUCCUGUGAUGUAGGUUGUGACACCUCGAGGCCGUGCCAGAGUUCGGUCUUCUGUGUGAGUGCAGGUGAACAGCUUCUCACGCACCACUGAAGUGGAGAAGGGUGUCCUACCUCACCGAGAAUCAAGUGACUACUGAUAAAAUUGAUACAGGCCUGGCUCCUUAACACUCCCCUGUUGAUAAUAUUUCAGAAUGUUCCUGUCAGCUAUUAGGAAAUGUGAUUUGGAACCUGUUACCAGUGUCUCAGGACAGACGAGGACGUAGUAAUGUUUGCUUUUAUAUAAGUUUACAGUAACAACAGGACAUCCACCAUGGAACAUCCACAGCUGUCUGACUAUCGCUUAACUGCGUCAUUUGAUGUGGUAUCCGUAACGUGACAAUGUUUGAAGAUGAUUUGAAUUUUGAGCUGUAGUAUGUCGUGAGCCUAUUGGCGUUGCUGUCUGCUGCUACAAUAACUUAAAUGCAACCAACAGUCAACAUGGGCACUUCAGUAUGAACCUGUAUCCUUUUCUGUCUUACUGUCCAUAGUGUGAUAAAUUACAGGCAUGCAUUCAUAAACACUGUAUGAAUAAACCAUUUCUGUUCUUG
RNAcentral lists this unclassified non-coding RNA (3234 nucleotides) under Haliotis rufescens (red abalone). RNAcentral describes it as "sodium-dependent dopamine transporter-like, transcript variant X1". Lineage: Eukaryota; Metazoa; Mollusca; Gastropoda; Lepetellida; Haliotidae. The record is from RNAcentral.